CCUACGGGGUGCAGCAGUCGAGAAUCAUUCACAAUGGGGGAAACCCUGAUGGUGCGACGCCGCGUGGGGGAAUGAAGGUCUUCGGAUUGUAAACCCCUGUCAUGUGGGAGCAAAUUAAAACGAUCGUACCACAAGAGGAAGAGACGGCUAACUCUGUGCCAGCAGCCGCGGUAAUACAGAGGUCUCAAGCGUUGUUCGGAAUCACUGGGCGUAAAGCGUGCGUAGGCUGUUUCGUAAGUCGUGUGUGAAAGGCGCGGGCUCAACCCGCGGACGGCACAUGAUACUGCGAGACUAGAGUAAGGGAGGGGGAGCCGGAAUUCUCGGUGUAGCAGUGAAAUGCGUAGAUAUCGAGAGGAACACUCGUGGCGAAGGCGGGUUCCUGGACAGUAACUGACGCUGAGGCACGAAGGCCAGGGGAGCGAAAGGGAUUAGAUACCCGUGUAGUC
Molecule: ribosomal RNA, 446 nt
Filed under: uncultured bacterium
Lineage: Bacteria
Description: partial 16S ribosomal RNA
Rfam family: Bacterial small subunit ribosomal RNA
Source: RNAcentral